Poecilia reticulata (guppy) is the source of this 844-nucleotide non-coding RNA. The record is from RefSeq and is a predicted model, not a curated record. NCBI's taxonomy places the organism in Eukaryota, Metazoa, Chordata, Actinopteri, Cyprinodontiformes, Poeciliidae.
CUGGAGGAGCAGCAGGAGUUUCAAACAUUUUGUUGUCUCUUAGAGCUUACACAUGCGAUCUGGUAGUCCAUGUCAUGAAAAAUGAAAUCCAACAUAUAUGUCUGUUGAAUUGUGUUAUGUUAUGUGAGUGUUGAUGCUUCCACACAGCUGCAGCAGAGAAGCAGCCGUGAAGCCUGCAGCAUUCCGUAAAGCAAAAACCUCUCGAUUUCACUCGGAAACAACUUCAGGUCUGAUGUGUUUGUGAGCUGUGGCAGAAUGUGAUGCUUCGAGCUGCAUGAAUCUAAAGAGGCCUGUGUGGAGCACACAGGGUCAGAGGAAAGCAGAGUGCCACACACUCCACACAAACAGUUUACUGAAGUCUAAUAUGGAGCAGUGGUCAUUUUGUAAGGGUGGAAUAAUGAUGAUGGGUGGAGAGAAACAGCAACUAAAAGCUUUUCUGCAUCAAUAUGACUACAAGAGUUGAAAUGAAUGUUGUUUUAAAAUCUCAUUUAAACACUCAUCCAUUUCAGCUCAAACGGCUUUAAAUGUCAAAAAGAGUAUGAAAAAAAUGCUAAAUGCUAAAAACUAAAUUGUUGCAUCACUGCCUCUAUCUCCCUAAGAUCUUCCUUCACAGGUGGGUGGACCUGCAGAGGGCUGACGCUCCUCCUCUUCCUCAUGUGGCCCAGCUGCAUGCUGGGGUGUCUUGAACAGCUCUUCAUUUACGGAGCUAAAUGUUUUGGUAAUUAAAAAAAACAAACAAAAAAACAAAGAUGUAAUAGAAAAAGUAAAACUUGAAAUUGAAAACUUAAGUUUGCCCCCUAAGCAAAAUCAGGGCCAAAGGUCAGAAACAGAAGAAAAAAAAAAA